CCUGAGAAACCCGAAAGAUGGUGAACUAAACUACAUCGUCAUCGAUUAUGGUACGGUGCGGUUCGGGAUGUCCGAGAUUUCAGUCUUACGGAACUCGUCCGCAUGUUUUUAUUUCCAAAAUCGUCGGCGUGCACUUCUCCCCUAGUAGGACGUCGCGACCCGUUGGGUGUGGGUCUACGGCACGGUAGGGCAGUCUGUCUCGUUUGGGCGCUGUACGGCGUUCAACGCGGGGCAAACCUCCGUCCGCCCGACCGACUGCCCGGCGGUACUCGCACGAUAUCUAGCCGCAGGCAUACAAACUGCGUCCGGCCCGUCGCAAGCGGGGCAAGUGUUUCCCGGCUGUACGGAUCUAAUGCCGUCACCGGGCCUUGCCAGCUGUUGGUUGACGGUGUCCUGGGACUGGCUAACAUUAUUAUGAUCUCGGUCGGCGACGGUAAGGCCUUGGGUACUUUCAGGACCCGUCUUGAAACACGGACCAAGGCGUCUACGAGUCGUGUUGCUUGAUAGUGCAGCUC
This 515-nucleotide ribosomal RNA is filed under the name Ichneumoninae sp. NHM723927. Its description in RNAcentral is "eukaryotic LSU rRNA". The record is from RNAcentral. Lineage: Eukaryota; Metazoa; Arthropoda; Insecta; Hymenoptera; Ichneumonidae.